Molecule: ribosomal RNA, 919 nt
Filed under: Neisseria gonorrhoeae
Lineage: Bacteria; Pseudomonadati; Pseudomonadota; Betaproteobacteria; Neisseriales; Neisseriaceae
Description: bacterial SSU rRNA
Rfam family: Bacterial small subunit ribosomal RNA
Source: RNAcentral
CGUUAAUCGGAAUUACUGGGCGUAAAGCGGGCGCAGACGGUUACUUAAGCAGGAUGUGAAAUCCCCGGGCUCAACCCGGGAACUGCGUUCUGAACUGGGUGACUCGAGUGUGUCAGAGGGAGGUGGAAUUCCACGUGUAGCAGUGAAAUGCGUAGAGAUGUGGAGGAAUACCGAUGGCGAAGGCAGCCUCCUGGGAUAACACUGACGUUCAUGUCCGAAAGCGUGGGUAGCAAACAGGAUUAGAUACCCUGGUAGUCCACGCCCUAAACGAUGUCAAUUAGCUGUUGGGCAACUUGAUUGCUUGGUAGCGUAGCUAACGCGUGAAAUUGACCGCCUGGGGAGUACGGUCGCAAGAUUAAAACUCAAAGGAAUUGACGGGGACCCGCACAAGCGGUGGAUGAUGUGGAUUAAUUCGAUGCAACGCGAAGAACCUUACCUGGUUUUGACAUGUGCGGAAUCCUCCGGAGACGGAGGAGUGCCUUCGGGAGCCGUAACACAGGUGCUGCAUGGCUGUCGUCAGCUCGUGUCGUGAGAUGUUGGGUUAAGUCCCGCAACGAGCGCAACCCUUGUCAUUAGUUGCCAUCAUUCGGUUGGGCACUCUAAUGAGACUGCCGGUGACAAGCCGGAGGAAGGUGGGGAUGACGUCAAGUCCUCAUGGCCCUUAUGACCAGGGCUUCACACGUCAUACAAUGGUCGGUACAGAGGGUAGCCAAGCCGCGAGGCGGAGCCAAUCUCACAAAACCGAUCGUAGUCCGGAUUGCACUCUGCAACUCGAGUGCAUGAAGUCGGAAUCGCUAGUAAUCGCAGGUCAGCAUACUGCGGUGAAUACGUUCCCGGGUCUUGUACACACCGCCCGUCACACCAUGGGAGUGGGGGAUACCAGAAGUAGGUAGGGUAACCGCAAGGAGUCCGCUUACCA